This 101-nucleotide small nuclear RNA is filed under the name Notechis scutatus (mainland tiger snake). The record is from RNAcentral. Lineage: Eukaryota; Metazoa; Chordata; Lepidosauria; Squamata; Elapidae.
AUGCUAUGGCAGCACAUAUACUAAGACUGGAAUGAUGCAGAGAAGAUGAGCAUGGCCUCUGCCUAUUUGUAUAUUGCUAUCUUGAAAUUCUCGAACUUGGG